This 248-nucleotide ribosomal RNA is filed under the name uncultured Lachnospiraceae bacterium. Its description in RNAcentral is "partial 16S ribosomal RNA". It matches the Rfam family "Bacterial small subunit ribosomal RNA", at positions 524 to 771 of the family's 1533-position model. Lineage: Bacteria; Bacillati; Bacillota; Clostridia; Lachnospirales; Lachnospiraceae. The record is from RNAcentral.
UACGUAGGGGGCAAGCGUUAUCCGGAUUUACUGGGUGUAAAGGGAGCGUAGGUGGCGUGCCAAGUCAGGAGUGAAAACCCAGGGCCCAACUCUGGGACUGCUCUUGAAACUGGCAGGCUUGAGUGCUGGAGAGGUAAGCGGAAUUCCUAGUGUAGCGGUGAAAUGCGUAGAUAUUAGGAGGAACACCAGUGGCGAAGGCGGCUUACUGGACAGUGACUGACACUGAGGCUCGAAAGCGUGGGGAGCAA